GAUGAACGCUGACAGAAUGCUUAACACAUGCAAGUCGAUGGGGAAGUGGUGCUUGCACCAUGGCAACCAUGGCGGACGGGUGAGUAACGCGUAAGGGACUUACCUGCAGGACGGGGAUAACAGGGGGAAACUCCUGACAAGACCGGAUAAUGUCAUGGAGCUGCAUGGCUUUAUGAUGAAAGGAGACGCCUGCGGAGAGCCUUGCGUCCUAUUAGCUAGUUGGUGAGGUAAUGGCUCACCAAGGCGAAGAUAGGUAGCCGGCCUGAGAGGGUGGACGGCCACAAGGGGACUGAGAUACGGCCCUUACUCCUACGGGAGGCAGCAGUGGGGAAUAUUGGACAAUGGGGGCAACCCUGAUCCAGCAAUUCUGUGUGCACGAAGAAGGUUUUCGGAUUGUAAAGUGCUUUCAGCAGGGAAGAAGUAAGUGACGGUACCUGCAGAAGAAGCGACGGCUAAAUACGUG
RNAcentral lists this ribosomal RNA (463 nucleotides) under uncultured bacterium. Its description in RNAcentral is "partial 16S ribosomal RNA". It matches the Rfam family "Bacterial small subunit ribosomal RNA", at positions 28 to 507 of the family's 1533-position model. The record is from RNAcentral.